AUGGCAAAAGACGGCGACACCGUUGAGAUCAUAAACGUUAUCAAACCUUCCUCUAAGCCUUCGUCGUUGAAGUUUCCGUUGAGCUUUUUCGAAGCUACGGUGGCUUCCACGGUGGCGUUGAGCUUUAUCGUCGGUCUUCUCGGUGUUUAUCUCACCAUGCCUGAUUCUGAUUACAGCUUCCUUAAACGACCUCGUAGCCUCCAUGAUCUUCAACUUCUAAGGUAG
Molecule: non-coding RNA, 225 nt
Organism: Vicia faba (fava bean)
Lineage: Eukaryota; Viridiplantae; Streptophyta; Magnoliopsida; Fabales; Fabaceae
Source: the annotation of a GenBank genome assembly